UGUAAUCCCAGCACUUUGGGAGGCCGAGACGGGCAGAUCACUUGAGCCCAGGAGUUGGAGACCAGACUGACCAGCAUGGUGAAACCGUCUCUACAAAAAAUCAGACAGGCUUGGUGGCGGGCGCCUGUAGUCCCAGCUGCCGGUACUCAGGAGACAGCCGGGAAGCGAAGGUUGCAGCGAGCCGAGACUGCGGCCCUGCACCCCAGCCUGGGCAAAAUGGUCACCGCUUCUCUACAAAAUACUAGCUGGGCAUGGUGGCACGUGCCCGCGGUUGCGGCUACUGGGGAGGCUGAGGUCGCCCGCCCGACCGGUAAGCAGAGGUUCCAGUAAGCUAAGAUCGCGCCACUCAACUCCAGCCUGGGCGACAGAGUGAGAUCCUAUCUCAGAAAGAAAGAAAGAAAAAUAGAGUUUAAAAAUAAACUGACCUGGCGGCGGUGGCUCAUGCUUGUAAUCCCAGCACCUUCUUCAGAGGUUGACGUGGCGAAUUGCUUGAGCCCAGGAGUUCAAGACCAGCCUGUGGAAAAUGGCGACCUGGCUCUCUACAAAAAAUUCGCUGGGCGUGGUCUGCGCACCAGUGGUCCCAGCUAUUGGGGAGGCUGAGGGUGGCUGAAACAACAAAAAUGUAACGUCUUACAGAUCUGAAGGCUUCCGGGUCGAUUCUGGACUGUGAUGAGAGCCUGUGCCAUGCCUCUCUCCUGGCUUCUGGUAGACUCGGGCAUUCCUUAGCUUGUAAAUGGCUGCUGCUUGUGUCAUCACAUUGUCUAACCUUUCUACUUAUCUGUCCCCAUGCCCCAAUUUUUCCUUUUCAGGACACCAGUCAGAUUAGGACCCACCCUAAUGAUCGCAUCUUAACUUGAUUAACUACAAGGACCCUAUUUUUAAGUAAGUCCACAUUUACAGAGACUGGGGGGUAGGACUUCAACAUCUUUUUGGAGGGAUGCAGUUCAACCCAUAACAAGAAUCAUUGUUAGAAAUGAUUUUGCUUCUUCACUGAAAAAUUAAUAUCAUUCUGCAGAGAACUGACUUGCUGCACAUGGCACAGAUUUUUUGCAUUUAUCGUAGUAAAAGAAAUCAGUCACAAAAGCUUGUUUUAGACUGCUAUAUACCUAUCCCAAAUACAAAUUAUUUCCAACAUUAAAAGUUAAUAAAGCAAGCACUGUCACCCAAA
Long non-coding RNA from Symphalangus syndactylus (siamang), 1168 nucleotides. RefSeq lists it as uncharacterized. NCBI's taxonomy places the organism in Eukaryota, Metazoa, Chordata, Mammalia, Primates, Hylobatidae. The record is from RefSeq and is a predicted model, not a curated record.